RNAcentral lists this ribosomal RNA (465 nucleotides) under uncultured bacterium. RNAcentral's name for it is "partial 16S ribosomal RNA". It matches the Rfam family "Bacterial small subunit ribosomal RNA", at positions 28 to 507 of the family's 1533-position model. The record is from RNAcentral.
GACGAACGCUGGCGGCGUGCUUAACACAUGCAAGUCGAACGGAAAGGCCCUGCUUGCAGGGUACUCGAGUGGCGAACGGGUGAGUAACACGUGGGUGAUCUGCCCUGCACUUCGGGAUAAGCCUGGGAAACUGGGUCUAAUACCGGAUAGGAGCCACUUUUAGUGUGAUGGUUGGAAAGUUUUUUCGGUGUAGGAUGAGCUCGCGGCCUAUCAGCUUGUUGGUGGGGUAAUGGCCUACCAAGGCGGCGACGGGUAGCCGGCCUGAGAGGGUGGACGGCGACAUUGGGACUGAGAGACGGCCCAGACUCCUACUGGAGGCAGCAGUGGGGAAUAUUGCACAAGGGGCGCAAGGCUGAUGCAGCGACGCCGCGUGGGGGAUGACUGCCUUCGGGUUGUAAACUCCUUUCGCUAGGGACGAAGCUUUUUGUGACGGUACCUAGAUAAGAAGCACCGGCUAACUACGUG